This 73-nucleotide transfer RNA is filed under the name Gelidiella flabella. RNAcentral's name for it is "tRNA-His". It matches the Rfam family "tRNA". From Rfam's summary of the family: Transfer RNA (tRNA) molecules are approximately 80 nucleotides in length. Their secondary structure includes four short double-helical elements and three loops (D, anti-codon, and T loops). Further hydrogen bonds mediate the characteristic L-shaped molecular structure. tRNAs have two regions of fundamental functional importance: the anti-codon, which is responsible for specific mRNA codon recognition, and the 3' end, to which the tRNAs corresponding amino acid is attached (by aminoacyl-tRNA synthetases). tRNAs cope with the degeneracy of the genetic code in two manners: having more than one tRNA (with a specific anti-codon) for a particular amino acid; and 'wobble' base-pairing, i.e. permitting non-standard base-pairing at the 3rd anti-codon position. The record is from RNAcentral. Lineage: Eukaryota; Rhodophyta; Florideophyceae; Gelidiales; Gelidiellaceae.
GCGAAGGGAGCUCGGUAGGUAGAGCGUUAGAUUGUGAAUCUAUAGGUCAUGGGUUCGAAUCCCAUUCUUCGCC